RNAcentral lists this ribosomal RNA (484 nucleotides) under uncultured bacterium. Its description in RNAcentral is "partial 16S ribosomal RNA". It matches the Rfam family "Bacterial small subunit ribosomal RNA", at positions 29 to 507 of the family's 1533-position model. The record is from RNAcentral.
AUUGAACGCUGGCGGCAUGCUUUACACAUGCAAGUCGAACGGCAGCGCGGGCUUCGGCCUGGCGGCGAGUGGCGAACGGGUGAGUAAUACAUCGGAACGUGCCCAGCUGCGGGGGAUAGCUCGGCGAAAGCCGGAUUAAUACCGCAUACGACCUGACGGUGAAAGCGGGGGAUCUUCGGACCUCGCGCUCUUGGACCGGCCGAUGGCCGAUUAGCUAGUUGGUGGGGUAAAGGCCUACCAAGGCGACGAUCUGUAGCUGGUCUGAGAGGACGACCAGCCACACUGGAACUGAGACACGGCCCAGACUCCUACGGGAGGCAGCAGUGGGGAAUUUUGGACAAUGGGCGAAAGCCUGAUCCAGCAAUGCCGCGUGUGUGAUGAAGGCCUUCGGGUUGUAAAGCACUUUUGGCGGGAACGAAAAGGACUGUGCCAAUACCACGGUGCGAUGACGGUACCCGAAGAAUAAGCACCGGCUAACUACGUG